Molecule: long non-coding RNA, 676 nt
Filed under: Apteryx owenii (little spotted kiwi)
Lineage: Eukaryota; Metazoa; Chordata; Aves; Apterygiformes; Apterygidae
Description: lncRNA (ENSAOWG00000016106.1)
Source: RNAcentral
AGGCUGUCCUCCUAUUGCUCUUACUUUAUGAUGUGUCUAUCUGCAGCACAUCUAGAACUUGGUCUAGACAGCUUGGCUAAAUUAUAAGUCUUGGAAAUAGGAUCUCAUAAGGAGGUGUACUGGACAAACAUAACUAUUCCUUUGACUAGAAGGAUAUGACAGGUGAUAUCGGACUCCAGGGAAGUCCCAGCUGUGCCAUUGUACCCUUCAUGAGUAAGCAGUGCUGGGGCUGUGCAACUAUCAUCCCUCACCCUUUUGGGCCUGAUGACUGCUGCCCAGGAGCAGAGCAAGCUUCCUCCCCACUGGGAAACGAUCUGCACAGAGUUAGUGAUGGGAUAUUCUGGUCAGAGGAAAUCGCACCACAGGAAAUCUCAUCAGAGUGACCACUAUCAGUCACGGCACAUGCAGUGUCUUCAGGCUCUUUACUUGACAACCAAGUAUGGGUAUACCACAUUGAUUUUCAUGAAGAAGUGAGGACAUCUUCUGUAAUGAGGACAGGCCUCUGGAAGUGGUGUAGUAUUUUCCUUUCUGCUUUCUUUACUAUUCAAUCUCUGGAGAGCCUGUGCAGAUAAAAUGGGAAAGAAAUAUUUUUCCUUGUCACUGUCUUGGAUCUGGCUUAUGAGACUUUCUGAUUCUUUAGUGGAGGAGCAGUGGCAGACCGAUAGGAGAAAGACUG